AGUGAACGCUGGUGGUAGGCCUAACACAUGCAAGUCGAACGGCAGCACAGUAAGAGCUUGCUCUUACGGGUGGCGAGUGGCGGACGGGUGAGGAAUACAUCGGAAUCUACUUUUUCGUGGGGGAUAACGUAGGGAAACUUACGCUAAUACCGCAUACGACCUACGGGUGAAAGCAGGGGAUCUUCGGACCUUGCGCGAUUGAAUGAGCCGAUGUCGGAUUAGCUAGUUGGCGGGGUAAAGGCCCACCAAGGCGACGAUCCGUAGCUGGUCUGAGAGGAUGAUCAGCCACACUGGAACUGAGACACGGUCCAGACUCCUACGGGAGGCAGCAGUGGGGAAUAUUGGACAAUGGGCGCAAGCCUGAUCCGGCCAUACCGCGUGGGUGAAGAAGGCCUUCGGGUUGUAAAGCCCUUUUGUUGGGAAAGAAAAGCAGCAGGUUAAUACCCCGCUGUUCUGACGGUACCCAAAGAAUAAGCACCGGCUAACUUCGUG
Molecule: ribosomal RNA, 492 nt
Filed under: uncultured bacterium
Lineage: Bacteria
Description: partial 16S ribosomal RNA
Rfam family: Bacterial small subunit ribosomal RNA
Source: RNAcentral